Molecule: ribosomal RNA, 253 nt
Filed under: uncultured bacterium
Lineage: Bacteria
Description: partial 16S ribosomal RNA
Rfam family: Bacterial small subunit ribosomal RNA
Source: RNAcentral
UACGUAGGGUGCAAGCGUUAAUCGGAAUUACUGGGCGUAAAGCGUGCGCAGGCGGCUUUGCAAGACAGAUGUGAAAUCCCCGGGCUCAACCUGGGAACUGCAUUUGUGACUGCAUGGCUGGAGUGCGGCAGAGGGGGGUAGAAUUCCACGUGUAGCAGUGAAAUGCGUAGAGAUGUGGAGGAACACCGAUGGCGAAGGCAAUCCCCUGGGCCUGCACUGACGCUCAUGCACGAAAGCGUGGGGAGCAAACAGG